GCGUCUGUAGCUCAUUUGGAUAGAGCGCCUGGCUACGAACCAGGAGGUAGGAAGUUCGAAUCUUUCCAGACGCGCCA
Molecule: transfer RNA, 77 nt
Filed under: Candidatus Aalborgicola bjergmarkensis
Lineage: Bacteria; Pseudomonadati; Pseudomonadota; Betaproteobacteria; Burkholderiales; Comamonadaceae
Description: tRNA-Arg
Rfam family: tRNA
About the family: Transfer RNA (tRNA) molecules are approximately 80 nucleotides in length.
Source: RNAcentral